UUUUUUUUUUAAAGGUCCACACCUAUGGCAUAUGGAAGUUCCCAGGCUAGGGGUCUAAUCAAAGCUACAGAUGCCAGCCAACACCACAGCCACAGCAAUGCCAGAUCUGAGUCGCAAUGGCGACCUAUACCACAGCUCACGGCAACGCCGGAUCCUUAACCCACUGAGCAAGGCCAGGGAUCGAACCCGAAACUUCAUGGUUCCUAGUUGGAUUUGUUUCCACUGUACCACGACAGGAACUCCAAGAAUAUAUUUUAAAUGUUAAAGAUACAUUUUAACUAUUAAGAAUAUGUUCAUUGUUAAAGAUAUAUAUUAAUUUGAUUUUACAAUGUGUUUUGAAGACUUGGCUCUAGGUAAACUGGGAACUUGUGGAGACAUCCUCAGAUGGAUAAGGUCUCUCUCCGUGAAGGAGAAUGCUUUUCAUGUGAUGAAUGAACUUGUAACAACAUAGGAAGGCAAUGGACUUGACCCACAGUGGAAAGGAUGCUCUCGUGAGGGCAGUUAAGGGACAUGGGGGCCAUGGCUCAUGUUGUCCUGGUACCAUGGUACCUUUGCUUUUUCAGAGUAAACCAUUACCGACUAAUCACACUUGAACUUAUUGAAACCCAUGUUGCAUGAAUUUAACAUUCUCCCUCUAAAAGAAGUAAGGGUAAUUUGAUCUAUAAUUCAGAAGCAAGCCCGCCCUCCCCCACCCCAAAUGCAGCAGCAGGCUGCCCUGAACCAUCACACCGCCCAUGGCUGAGAUGGAAUUGUCUCUGGCUCAACUCCUGCCGAGGCGCUGCGUCCUCCCACCUCCCGCACUGCCUAGGACUCCUUUGGCGAGGACUGGAUGAUAUUUCCGUGUAGAGCAGUGCCCGGUGUGGAGGGCCAGGCCUAUCGCUCCUUGGACCUUGGACCUUAAGUGGUUUACCAGGCUUCCUCCUUACCUUUCUAUUGGCCACAGACUCUCCGCUGAAACAGAGACAUCCUGCACUGAAUGAGUGUGGACAUCUCAGAGCCAAGAGAUGGAGGAUGGGGAAUAGAACAGACGCAAAGAGAAGCCCUUCCAGUUUCCAGAGAGCAUGGCAGGGCCGUUUACCGCAGAACCUCGUCAGUGGUUGAAGUUGAUCAGAAUCUAUCCAAUAUCAGCCUAACAAAUGAGUGAAUGACCCCAGAUUUGAGGAGAAACCAUCUGAAAUGACUUCCCCUUUCCUAGUAGGAGCGUGAGAGUCUAACACCUGGCUCCCCGGGACUGUCUAAGAACCGGUGCUCCGGAUAUCAGGAGGGUGCAGUUUUCUGGCCUCAGUUCCAUGAAGUUACUCCUUGAAGGUCAAGAUCAUUGCCAUGAAGAUGUGAUUACCUAAGAGUGUCUCAAGUGGCCUGUUCAGCACCAAGUAUUUAGCUGAGGAGAAGGGCCUGCCAUGUUUCCAUCACAGAGGUGAAGAAAGUGGUCAUGACUUGGCUUUUGGGGGCCACAAUUUUCCAUUCUGGGUUCUGUGAAUCUAGCACACAGCUCUGGCCUGUGCUACUCCGACUUCCCUCUUCUUCUCGGCCCUCCCUAAAGCUUGUCUGAAGAAGGCUGGGGAGCCAUUUCCUGACACACCCCCCCCCAAACCCUAAUACUUCUCAUUACCAUUCCAUCAGGCAGUAGCCAAGAUCAGAGUUCACAGGACAGGAAGGCCUAUAAGGAAGCUUCAGCUGGUGGCCACCUGUACCUUGCCACUGUAGGUCAGGUGUCUGGGCAUAACUUUCCACUAGAUUGAAUCUGUUCCUUUGUAAAUCUAACUCCAAAAGCAUCCCUAGAAAAAUUACCCUAAUGCAAGUAAGAAUAACCCAGGACCCUUGAUCCUUAUCUAGGGUUGGGGUUUUCCAAAAGUGUUUCCUUUGUGUGGUGGUACCACUAUGCAGCUUGGAUCCAGUGUUGCUGUGGUUGUGGUCUGCAGCUCCAAUUCGACUCCUAGCCCUUGAACUUCCACAUUCCACGGGUGCUGCCCUAAAAAGAAAAAAGAAAAAGGAAAAAAUUAAAAUUAAAAAAUAAUAAUGCUCAAGGGGUAAUGGCUCAUUUACCUUGUUAAUGACUUGCAAUGGCAAUAAUUAUCACUCAUGGAGUACCUAUGGCUUUGCUCUCUCAUAUCAUCCUACAGAAGUAAGAUAAGGUGGUGUCCGGAGUAUGGGGUCUGGAGCUUGACUACCUGGAUUCAAAUCCCUGCUCAGUCAUCUCUUGGCUGUGUGACUUAAGGUAAGUUACUCACCCUCUCUGUGCCUCAAUGUCUUCAUCUGGUGGAUGGAGCUCACAGACUCUAGUCUGUCAUAGGGUAGCUGUGAAGAUUAGACGAGUCGAUGCAUGUAGAGAGCUUCUAACAGUGCUUGACCUUGAGCAGCCAUUCAGUACAUUAUACAUUAGCAAGGUGGGAUAAGGAAAUGGGGGUUUGGGAAGGUGAAUGGCUGACUCCAAAGCACUUACGUUGGGAUCCACAGUGGAAACUCUUCUAAUCUUUUAUCAACAACCAGAUGAGAAGAUACAUCUGCUUCUGCUUCUAAGAGUUGGUGAUUCUCAUCCUUCUCUCUGCACUUGCCCUUGCCGUGUCCUUGGUCAGCACAGAGGAAGGACAACAGCCCAUCUCCCUCACAUCGGAAGUGGCUCCACAAGUUGGCCUUCACUGCCAUCAACCCUAACAGGUGUGGUGCUCUAUCUCCACAGUCCUCCAGAGCGCCCUCAAGUCCCUCAGGGUGUCUUUACUCCAAGAAGGGGUUCUAGACUAGACAAGCAGAGGUGUUGCAGAAAGGAAGAUACUGCAAAGGAUUCAGGCAGCAAAGGGUGUGCUCCCCACACUGGGGAAGACAUCUGGGCAGAAGGGCCUGGGCUGGACCUCACAUCCAUCCCUCUUCCCUUGGGGUCCUUGACCACCCUUGAGAAUGGCACCUACAUGCUCUAAUUCUCCAUAAAAUCCAGAGGCAAAAUGUCCCUGCUGUAAAGACCUUGAACCCUUUUUGGGAAGGUUUUAUGAACUUAAUAUCAUGGGUUGCUCUAACCCCAGCCUUUGUCCUGACAGCAUCUGCUCAGGGAGUUUGAGAUUCAGCCAGUCUGUAAAGAGCUUCAGAUCCAGGGCUUUGAGGUGGGGAGAAGUGGUCACCUUGGAGAAAGCAGGAAACUGUGGCCAGCUGGGGCAUUCUUUGCUAUAGAUUCCAAGAGACAAACUUGCUGAUCCCAGGUCAAGUCUGCCCCUGCUUCCCUGCAUCUAGAACCAUCUCUGGCUCCACCUCCCAUUAACACCCCAGAACAGAUUCCCUACCCACCUCCUCAAGAAGAACAUUGCCUCUGGGGAUUUUCUAAGAGUUUUUAGGAUAAGCAGCAGUUAGAAGCUAACAAUAAGUAAAAUUUCCAGAAAUCAAGAGAAACUUGCAAUGUUCCUUGACACUUUAAAUGAUGCACUUGAAACAAGAGGCUUACAUUAGGAUCUAAAUUAGAGUUCUUGAGUGGCUUUUUGUAUUUUUUCUUUCACGUUAACCUGACUACAACUUUAUCUUCUCCAUUCACUUCCAAGAAGUCCUUAUAUAAUAAAGAGUUGAAGGCUGAAGCCCUUGCUUCCUCAAUAGGGGGCAGGCUCACCAGCUCCAUCUUGUCAGUUACCUCUUAAUGGUUGGUAGGAUGAGGGAAGCUUUCUCAAAGGACAGUUAAAAUAGUGCUUUAAGAAAUCCUCAGCCAAUAAAUAGUUGCUUCCAGAGUUAUAAAGUCAGUUUUCUUAACCUCUCAAUCUCAACUCAACUCAAAUUACAAAGUUUACAUGCCUUUGGGGAUGGCUGUAUUAAGUAAAUAGAGAGGAAUGGUCACAUUCAGUGUAAGCUAAAACACCCAAGGCUGGCAGUAGGAAAAGGAGCUACCUACCUAUCAGGUCUUUCAUAAAGCCAGUCCCUUAAGUAGAAAGAAUAAAGUUCUCUCAAGACUUACCCUAUGGACUGCCUUUCACAGCUGGUUCAUAUUUAUAAGCCAAUUUGUCUGGAAGUAAAUCUCUUUAACACACCCAACUGACUCCAAGAGGUGUGUCCCAUGGGAACCAAUCUUAAAUAACUGUCUCAAGAAAAGUUUUAGCAGCAAUAUUGUCAGUCCUGGAAUUUCCACCUUUGGGGGGAAAAAAAAUCAACAAUAGAAUGCUUGGAAAUACAGAAUACACAGAGUUUAGCAAACUGCCAAAUUAAAUUCAGACACACACACACAAAUCUGCUAAUACCUGGUUAAAGAGUUGGCAUGGGAAGAAACAGACUUCUCAUUCAAGCCUGAAGCUCGGUAAUGGGUCAUUUGACCUGAAAUAACUUGGGCGGAAGUUGGCCUUAUUGUCUUCCACAAUCUCUUCCCACACAGUCAAAAAAGGGGAUGCAAUCUUAAGAUUUUUUCUUCCUCAUUCUCUCCCGCCCUUUCUCCUCUCCCUCCCUCCCUUUUAUUUUCUCUCUCUCCUUUCUUCCUUCUUUUCUUUCUCUUUCAAUCUUUGGGCAUCAAAAAGGGUAUCCCAGAAAACUUCAAAUGAAGUUUUAGAAGAGGACCGUGUGUUGGUUUCAGUUGUUUUUAGGGUGGGGGCUUGAACAACCUCAUCUCAAAAAUGGAGAUUUUUUUUAUUACCUCUUUUGGUUGAGAUAUAAUUAAUAUAUAAUAAAGCUAUCUAAUUUACUGAAUUGGUCUGAUUCACAAGUUAAAUAAGGUUAAAUCAAAGAAAACAUGUAUAAGUCCCUCUAGACAGUGUCCAGGGUUGACUGGAUUAUAAACAGACAUAACCACUGAGGUCACUUUUUAAUUUAAAAACCCUCAAUGGCUCCUGACUUCCUACAGAACAGUCUAAAAAUCUAAGGCUCAAAAAUGUCAGGCUCUCCUUUCUAGUGCUACCUGCUGCCCCCAUCUCUUAUACAUACCAUUUGUCAGAUGCAACCAGAUAAUAGAAAUUUCCAGUCUCUCAGCUUCCUCCUGCUGCCCCAGGUCUGCUUAUCAAGGCCCUGCCCAUCCUUCAAAGUCAGAAGUCAUCUCCUCCAUGGAGUCCUCCAGGUCAGUCCUGCUGGUAUUCAUUUCCUUGCCUAUGGCCUAUCUCAUUACAUUGUUAUUGCUGCUAAGGUAUUUGACACAUUCUGUUUCAUAUUAACUACUUCCUGUGACGAGCACCCUUCUUUCGUGUAAUUUUGAUAAACAUUCAUUGAGCAUCUAUAAUAUGUGGGCAGAGAGCCAGGCAUGGGGAGGAGCUCGGCAGAGGUACAGAGAUGAGUGAUGUGGUGUUUACUCUGGAAGAGCUCAGGGCCUGGUGGGGAGCCUUGAGGUGGCAAGUCCCACCAUGCACGAUCCAUCUCCAGCAGUGUCUACGGUUUCCAUGCACACCAGAUAUAGAUGCUAAUACAAAUGAAGCCGUGCUAAAG
This 5373-nucleotide long non-coding RNA is filed under the name Sus scrofa (pig). Its description in RNAcentral is "lncRNA (ENSSSCG00005015660.1)". The record is from RNAcentral. Lineage: Eukaryota; Metazoa; Chordata; Mammalia; Artiodactyla; Suidae.